AGAGUUUGAUCAUGGCUCAGAUUGAACGCUGGCGGUAAGCCUUAAACAUGCAAGUCGUGCGGUAACAGACAUAAAGAUUUAGCUUGCUAAAUCCGGUGCUGACGAGCGGCGAACGGGUGAGUAACACGUAGGAAUCUACCCAGUAGCGGGGGAUAGCCCAGGGAAACUUGGAUUAAUACCGCAUACACCCUAAGGGGAAAAGAAGGCCUCUAUUUGAAGCUUUCACUAUUGGAUGAGCCUGCGUAAGAUUAGCUUGUUGGUGGGGUAAAGGCCUACCAAGGCAACGAUCUUUAGCUGGUCUGAGAGGACGAUCAGCCACAUUGGGACUGAGACACGGCCCAGACUUCUACGGAAGGCAGCAGUUAGGAAUAUUGGACAAUGGGGGCAACCCUGAUCCAGCAAUACCGCGUGUGUGAAGAAGGCUCUAGGGUUGUAAAGCACUUUAAGCAGGGAAGAAGCAUGUUAAGUUAAUACCUUAACAUGUUGACGUUACCUGAAGAAUAAGGACCGGCUAACUCCGUGCCAGCAGCCGCGGUAAUACGGAGGGUCCAAGCGUUAAUCGGAAUUACUGGGCGUAAAGCGCGCGUAGGCGGUUUAAUAAGUUGUAUGUGAAAGCCCUGGGCUCAACCUAGGAACUGCAUACAAAACUAUUAAGCUAGAGGACGAGAGAGGAGAGUAGAAUUUCAGGUGUAGCGGUGAAAUGCGUAGAUAUCUGAAGGAAUACCAAUGGCGAAGGCAGCUCUCUGGAUCGUUUCUGACGCUAAGGUGCGAAAGCGUGGGUAGCAAACAGGAUUAGAUACCCUGGUAGUCCACGCCGUAAACGAUGAUAACUAGCCGUUGGGCAGAUUUAACUGUUCAGUGGCACAGCUAACGCAUUAAGUUAUCCGCCUGGGGAGUACGGCCGCAAGGCUAAAACUCAAAUGAAUUGACGGGGGCCCGCCCAAGU
RNAcentral lists this ribosomal RNA (946 nucleotides) under seawater metagenome. RNAcentral's name for it is "bacterial SSU rRNA". It matches the Rfam family "Bacterial small subunit ribosomal RNA", at positions 8 to 930 of the family's 1533-position model. The record is from RNAcentral.